Molecule: ribosomal RNA, 450 nt
Filed under: uncultured bacterium
Lineage: Bacteria
Description: bacterial SSU rRNA
Rfam family: Bacterial small subunit ribosomal RNA
Source: RNAcentral
GUAGGGAAUCUUCCACAAUGGACGCAAGUCUGAUGGAGCAACGCCGCGUGAGUGAAGAAGGUCUUCGGAUCGUAAAACUCUGUUGUUAGAGAAGAACACGAGUGAGAGUAACUGUUCAUUCGAUGACGGUAUCUAACCAGCAAGUCACGGCUAACUACGUGCCAGCAGCCGCGGUAAUACGUAGGUGGCAAGCGUUGUCCGGAUUUAUUGGGCGUAAAGGGAACGCAGGCGGUCUUUUAAGUCUGAUGUGAAAGCCUUCGGCUUAACCGGAGUAGUGCAUUGGAAACUGGAAGACUUGAGUGCAGAAGAGGAGAGUGGAACUCCAUGUGUAGCGGUGAAAUGCGUAGAUAUAUGGAAGAACACCAGUGGCGAAAGCGGCUCUCUGGUCUGUAACUGACGCUGAGGUUCGAAAGCGUGGGUAGCAAACAGGAUUAGAAACCCCAGUAGUCC